Molecule: ribosomal RNA, 587 nt
Filed under: uncultured bacterium
Lineage: Bacteria
Description: bacterial SSU rRNA
Rfam family: Bacterial small subunit ribosomal RNA
Source: RNAcentral
CCUACGGGAGGCAGCAGUGGGGAAUCUUGCGCAAUGGGCGAAAGCCUGACGCAGCGACGCCGCGUGGGCGAAGACGGCCUUCGGGUUGUAAAGCUCCUUUGUCAGGGAAGAAACGGCUGAGGAUAAUACCUUUGGCUAAUGACGGUACCUAACCAGAAAGCCACGGCUAACUACGUGCCAGCAGCCGCGGUAAUACGUAGGUGGCAAGCGUUGUCCGGAAUUAUUGGGCGUAAAGCGCGCGCAGGCGGUCCUUUAAGUCUGAUGUGAAAGCCCACGGCUCAACCGUGGAGGGUCAUUGGAAACUGGGGGACUUGAGUACAGAAGAGGAAAGUGGAAUUCCACGUGUAGCGGUGAAAUGCGUAGAGAUGUGGAGGAACACCAGUGGCGAAGGCGACUUUCUGGUCUGUAACUGACGCUGAGGCGCGAAAGCGUGGGGAGCAAACAGGAUUAGAUACCCUGGUAGUCCACGCUGUAAACGAUGAGUGCUAAGUGUUAGAGGGUUUCCGCCCUUUAGUGCUGAAGUUAACGCAUUAAGCACUCCGCCUGGGGAGUACGGUCGCAAGACUGAAACUCAAAGGAAUUGACGG